Non-coding RNA from Podarcis lilfordi (Lilford's wall lizard), 110 nucleotides. NCBI's taxonomy places the organism in Eukaryota, Metazoa, Chordata, Lepidosauria, Squamata, Lacertidae. The record is from the annotation of a GenBank genome assembly.
UGUCCAGUAGCACCUUAGAGACCAACUAAGUUUGUUGUUGGUAUGAGCUUUUGUGUGCAUGCACAGAAGGUACUAACAAACUUAGUUGGUCUCUAAGGUGCUACUGGAAG